CAGCUGGGAUCUUCUGUCAAGGCCCAAGGUGCAGUUGGUGCCUUCCUGGGGGAUGAUGGAGAGCAGGGAAGAUGGGAUCUGGCACGAUGCACUAAUUCAGCCAAAUCUAAGGAUGACUGUGACCUGCACAACCUGGGGCAAGUUGGAGAAGAGCGAAGCCAAUGGCUGAAAAGAGAAAUUACACAAGACACUCAGGGUGAUAGACUUUAGAGGUAGAGCACAGGACAAAACAAGAAAAGGUCUUUCAAGGGAAUGGGAAGCAUUUGUAUUUGAUAUACCCCUGUAAAUACUGUUUUCUGGCAUCUGGGAAAAUUGGUCAGUAUUCAUAGUGGGAAAAGACAGUGAAGAAUAAUGUGUCCAGCAGAAAUUCCUGCAGCUCUUGGCUCAGCAGAACACAACUGCUGAAGACUGGAGCCUGCUCAGGACACUGGAGCUAACACCUCCACACUUGUAAGAAGCAGGACCUUGGGUGACCAUAAGCAGUAAGCUUGGGAUGUCAUUAAAAUAGCAACACCUGCAGUGGCACAGAGCCCUGAACUCCCUGCUGAGGAGCCUCAGUGUGUUGCUAAUUCAGAGGGAAGAUGCCACCUACUGAAUCACCCAAACCACUUCCUGCAGUACCUGGUUUUCCUCACGUUUCCCAUCCAAAUAGUGGCUAGACCCCCGUGAAAAAUGCCGCCUCUGCUGAAAUAGCUGGGCUGGCCAUUGCUGGAUUCACACGACGCAUCACCAGUGGGACAGCUGCAGGAGGAAUAACAUACAGAAGGAGUAAUGCUUGUGCCCAUGCUACAGGCAGAGCUGGAGCAUGGCCCAGUUCCAUACUGGAGCCUGUCAGAGUACAGCUCUUCAUCACAGCCCUCAGUGGAGACAGGCGACAUACAGACACUUGUGGCUGCUUGCAGGCUCUUGGAGAUGUGCGGGUAUUGCCAGAUAUUAAAUGCAUUGGGAUUGGUGAUUUAGGAGAGCUGCCCAAACAUCUUUGGGGCCAAAGUGGUACCAGCUUUCAGAUCUCUGAUGCAUCGAUCCAGAUGGAGAUGGACAGCCAACAUGACCCCUCGUCCUGCACCAGAGGACCCCUCUCCAAAGCAGCUCCUCCAGGAAGGGCGCGUGUUUGGUCAGAACCUUCUCUCUUGAGCUGGUACCCAGCCUGGUACAUUGGUGGUCCCUCAAUCGUCAUGGAGUUGCAUGCUCACAACUUGCAUACCAAAGUCAAAAACCCCACAGUGAUUCCUCUGGUCAUUAUUUUCUCAAUAUAUUGUCUCUGCCAGGCAGUUAGUCAGCAACAGUGGCUGAUGAUGGUGGAGCCAAGAACCCUCUACAAGAGAGUUCCUCCCUUGCUUUCCUUCACAGAGAAGGAACCUGAGUGUCCCACUUGUUCCCUGGCCUGGAGAAGACCUGCAAGCAGAUCUGCAAGCCAUGGGCAUUUUGCACAUUCACACACUUCCCCAGCAUCUGGUCAAGCCAAUUUGAUGACUGUUGUUCCUGAACAUGGACUGGAAAACAGGGAUAUCUCUCGGGCUGGCUGAAGCCUUCAGCAGGGAGGAGGGCUGUGGCCCUCACAACUGCCUGCUUGCUCCUCAGCUUUCUUUUUCUCAAAGGCCUCAGAAAUCUGCAGAUUCAGAGAUGUUUUUUCCCCUUUCUUGAAAGCAUGUCUAAAAAUAAAGAGAGUAUUGAAACCAAGCCCAGCCCAUAGAGCAGAGUGUGUAGGUGUGAUGCUAAACAAUACCUGGGGCUGUGAACCGUCCUGGGGGAGCUGGCACCCAUCUGGCAGACAUGCUCUCUCUCUUUCUCCUCAUUCUUUCUUUGAAACCUUGUCAAAGAGCACACAAGAUGAUGAAUCUGAAGUCGUUUUGUUUGAAAAUGACCUACACAUGUUGUUCUGGUUAUAAGAAGAGGACAAGGGGUUUCAUUUGCAAAACCAGCUGGGACCCCCAAGCUGCUACUGUGCUCUCUGCUUUUGUUUUCUAGCUGAAGGUUUCUAGAGGUGACUGAUAGAAAACAUUGAUGGCAGAUACUGAUUCAUGGUGGCAGACCAGGAUGUCUCUGAGGUUUGGCCCUUGGCAGAUGUAAAUAGACCAGCAGACAACAUGCGGUGCACAGAGAAGACUCUCCCUUUUAAACACAAAGCACAGCAAGCCCAAACUGGAUCCCUAUUCUCGUUGGGGAUCAACCUGCAGCAAUGAUGAGAGAAACGCAGCAAGUCCCCAGCCCUCUCCAGAGCUAAACUGCAAAACCACAGGCUUCACCAAAACCCUUCAAGCCAGCCAGUCUCCUAGAAGUGUCUCUAUCCCCUUCUCUCAACUCAGGGCUGGAAAUAAUGACAGGAUAUUCUUCUCUGCAGCCUGCCUGACAUCCAGCAGCAGCAAAGAAACAAAUGCACGGAUCCAGGGAUGCGGCCAGAGCUGGCCCAACAAGGGAGAAUCAGCUCCAAGCACUCCGAGGAAGCAAACAGUCCAUUUAAAGGCAUUUAAUGCUGGAGAAAAUGGAGAGGGAUUCAGCACAAAGCCACAAAACCAGUUUUGAGGAAGAAACACAGCUUGCCUCCUGUCCCUCUCCCCUGUGAACUGAAGGGGAGAGGCUGUCUAUCUCUGCCUGUCCCUUCAGGUCAGCAUCCCGGGCAAAGGCAGCAUCCCUGAGUGCUCAACAGUCUCUUUGAGUGCAGUUCUGUUUAUGUUGGCUGCUGCUGAUCCCAGCCCAUCUUCAGCACAUGGAUGCUUUUAACCCCUUGGGGAAGGGUCGGUGUGGCCGACCGGAGGGGGAGAGCGCCAGCCCGCUGCACACUCCGCAGCUGCCAAGGACACUGCCACGAUUCAUUCAUGUCCCUUCUCAAGGCACAGAUUGUAAACACAGUAGGGAAGCCGGGCCACGUCCCAGCCCAGCCUGGCUGCCUGCCUCGAGGUCUCCGUCGCCCAGAAUUUGGAGCUCGCCUCUUCUUCCAUUGCCUCUAAGCAGUAAUGGUGAAU
Tyto alba (common barn owl) is the source of this 2963-nucleotide long non-coding RNA. RefSeq lists it as uncharacterized. Lineage: Eukaryota; Metazoa; Chordata; Aves; Strigiformes; Tytonidae. The record is from RefSeq and is a predicted model, not a curated record. The transcript has 4 exons.